Non-coding RNA from Podarcis lilfordi (Lilford's wall lizard), 80 nucleotides. NCBI's taxonomy places the organism in Eukaryota, Metazoa, Chordata, Lepidosauria, Squamata, Lacertidae. The record is from the annotation of a GenBank genome assembly.
CACACACACGUAUAUAUAUACGUAUAUGUAUACGUAUAUGUAUAUGUAUAUGUAUAUGUAUAUGUAUAUGUAUAUGUAUG